This 74-nucleotide transfer RNA is filed under the name Pteropus alecto (black flying fox). It matches the Rfam family "tRNA". Rfam says of the family: Transfer RNA (tRNA) molecules are approximately 80 nucleotides in length. Lineage: Eukaryota; Metazoa; Chordata; Mammalia; Chiroptera; Pteropodidae. The record is from Rfam by way of RNAcentral.
GGCUCCAUAGUGUAGUGGUUAGCACAUCUGCUUUACACAUAGACGGUCCUGGGUUCAUGCCUUGGGUGGAGCCA